RNAcentral lists this small nuclear RNA (162 nucleotides) under Oncorhynchus kisutch (coho salmon). RNAcentral describes it as "U2 spliceosomal RNA (ENSOKIG00005012983.1)". It matches the Rfam family "U2 spliceosomal RNA". From Rfam's summary of the family: U2 is a small nuclear RNA (snRNA) component of the spliceosome (involved in pre-mRNA splicing). Complementary binding between U2 snRNA (in an area lying towards the 5' end but 3' to hairpin I) and the branchpoint sequence (BPS) of the intron results the bulging out of an unpaired adenosine, on the BPS, which initiates a nucleophilic attack at the intronic 5' splice site, thus starting the first of two transesterification reactions that mediate splicing. The record is from Rfam by way of RNAcentral. Lineage: Eukaryota; Metazoa; Chordata; Actinopteri; Salmoniformes; Salmonidae.
AUUAUUUUUCUAAAAAAGAAAAAUCGUAUCAGUUUCUGAUACGUCCCCCGAUGGGGGGACUACAUGUUGAUUUUUCGAACAGGGAGUCGGAAAUAGGGGUUGCUCCGUCCUCUCCACGCAUCGACCCGGUAUUGCAGUACCUCCGGGAAAGGUGCAACACUU